RNA transcript from Nomascus leucogenys (northern white-cheeked gibbon), 2238 nucleotides. It is a transcript of the gene named heat shock protein HSP 90-alpha-like, with no coding region annotated. Lineage: Eukaryota; Metazoa; Chordata; Mammalia; Primates; Hylobatidae. The transcript has a single exon. The record is from RefSeq and is a predicted model, not a curated record.
GUGCUGCUGCACUAUGGAGCCCGUGUGGUCCCUUAGCCAAGAUGCCUGAGGAAACGCAGCCCCAAGACCAGCCGAUGGAGGAGGAGGAGGUUGAGACGUUCAUCUUUCAGGCAGAAAUUGCCCAGUUGAUGUCAUUGAUCAUCAAUACUUUCUAUUUGAACAAAGAGAUCUUUCUGGGAGAGCUCAUUUCAAAUUUAUCAGAUGCAUUGGAUAAAAUCUGGUAUGAAAGCUUGACGGAUCCCAGUAAAUUAGACUCUGGGAAAGAGCUGCAUAUUAGCCUUACACCAAACAAACAAGAUCGAACACUCACUAUUGUGGAUACUGGAAUUGGAAUGACCAGGCUGACUUGAUCAAUAACCUUAGAACUAUCACCAAGUCUGAGACCAAAGUGUUCACGGCAGCUUUGCAGGCUGGUGCAGAUAUCUCUAUGACUGGCCAGUUCAGUGUUGGUUUUUAUUCUGCUUAUUCGGUUGCUGAGAAAGUAACAGUGAUCACCAAACAUAACGAUGAUGAACAGUACGCCUGGGAGUCCUCAGCAAGGGGAUCAUUCACAGUGAGGACAGACACAGGUGAACCUAUGGGUCAUGGAACAAAGGUUAUCCUACAGCUAAAAGAAGACCAAACGGAGUACUUGGAGGAACGAAGAAUAAAGGAGAUUGUGAAGAAACAUUAUCAGUUUAUUGGAUAUCCCAUCACUCUUUUUGUGGAGAAGAAACAUGAUAAAGAAGUCAGCGAUGAUGAGGCUGAAGAAAAGGAAGACAAAGAAGAAGAAAAGGAAAAAGAAGAGAAAGAGUCUGAAGACAAACCUGAAAUUGAAGAUGUUGGUUCUGAUGAAGAAGAAGAAGAAAAGAAGGAUGGUGACAAGAAGAAGAAGAUUAAGGAAAAGUACAUCGAUCAAGAAGAACUCAACAAAACAAAGCCUAUCUGGACCAGAUAUCCUGAUGACAUUACUAAUUAGGAAUACAGAGAAUUCUACAAGAGCUUGACCAAUAACUGGGAAGAUUACUUGGCAAUGAAACAUUUUUCAGUUGAAGGACAGUUGGAAUUCAGAGCCUUUCUAUUUGUCCCACGACGUGCUCCUUUCGAGCUGUUGGAAACCAGAAAGAAAAAGAACAACAUCAAAUUGUCUGCAUGCAGAGAUCUCAUCAUGGAUAACUGUGAGGAGCUAAUCCUUGAAUAUCUGAACUUCAUCAGAGGGGUGGUAGACUCGGAGGAUCUCCCUCUAAAUAUUUCCCAUGAGAUGUUGCAAUGAAGCAAAAUUUUGAAAGUUAUCAGGAAUAAUUUGGUCAAAAAAUGCUUAGAACUCUUUACUGAACUGGCAGAAGGUAAAGAGAGGUACAAGAAGUUCUAUGAGCAGUUCUCUAAAAAACAUAAAGCUUGGAAUACACGGAGACUCUCAAAAUCAGAAGAAGCUUUCAGAGCUGCUAAGAUACUACACAUCUGCCUCUGUGAUGAGAUGGUUUCUCUCCAGAACUACUGCACCAGAAUGAAGGAAAACCAAACACAUAUCUAUUCUAUCACAGGUGAGACCAAGGACCAGGUAGGUAACUAAGCCUUUGUGGAAUGUCUUUGGAAACAUGGCUUGGAAGUGAUCUAUACGAUCGAGCCCAUUGAUGAGUACUGUGUCCAGCAGCUGAAGGAAUUUGAGGGGAAGACUUUAGUGUCAGUCAGCAAAGAGGGCUUGGAACUUCCAGAGGAUGAAGAAGAGAAAAAGAAACAGGAAGAGGAAAAACAAACAAACAAAUUUUGAGAACCUCUGAAAAAUCGUGAAAGACAUAUUGGAGAAAAGAGUUGAAAAGGUGAUUGUGUCAAACCAAUUGGUGACGUCUCCAUGUUGUAUUGUCACAAGCACAUAUGGCUGGACAGCAAACAGGGAGAGAAUCAUGAAAGCUCAAGCCCUGAGAGACAGUUCAACAACGGGUUUACAUGGCAGCAAAGAAGCACCUGGAGAUAAACCCUGACCAUUCCUUUAUUGACACCUUAGGGAAAAAGGCAGAGGCUGAUAGGAAUGACAAGUCUGUGAAGGAUCUUGUCAUCUUGCUUUAUGAAACUGCUCUCCUGUCUUCCGACUUCAGGCUGGAAGAUCCCCAGACACACGCUAACAGGAUCUACAGGAUGAACAAACUUGGUCUGGGUAUUGAUGAAGAUGACCCUACUGCUGAUGAUACCAGUGCAGCUGUAACUGAAGAAAUGCUGCCCCUCGAAGGAGAUGACGACACAUCACACAUGGAAAAGUAG